AUUUUUUCAAUCUGAAAAAUUUUGUGUCUUUCUUCAGCCAUUUGAUUGGAUUAAGAAGACGUUCAUUGAGAAGGAGCCUGAAGGAAAGUGAACAAGGAUCAGAUUUCUGAACAGCUUUUCGAUAGCUUUCAUCAUGUUGGCAAUGAGAAACCUUGAGUGAAGCUGACAAGAAAAUUGUUGUUUCAUUUUCUGGUCAUUGUUGAGACCUUAUUGGCAUUAAUUCCUGGUUUAACUGGACAAUUUUAAACUCAAGUGCAAUUUUUAUAAUAAUUGUACUUCAGCUUUUGCUCUCUCUCUCUCUCACACACACACAGAGCACACACCUGCAUCCAAGAAUACUAACUUAAUCAAGCAAUUACUAAAGAAGGGAUGAGUAGUUUUGUUAAUAUGCUUGGUUCCAUGUGUAUGCCAAAGUUGCACCUCUUUGAUCAACUUCUUUUGGUUGGAAUAGAAUGGCGAUAGGAAUAAUUUUUAGGCCAUAUAUUUUUUAUAUUCUCAGGCAAUGUAUAUAUAUAUAUAUACCCUUAUAAUAUUUUAGAUUAGUUAAUCAAACAUUUUGAACUAAAAUUGUAAUUUAGAAAUUGACAAAUGUCAUUAUCAAACUUGUAUAAAAUUGGAUUUAAAGGUACUAAUUCUUUGACAGUUAAAUAUAUGUAAAAAAAUUACUAAUCACAAAAUCAGGAAAUUAAAUAAUAUAUUAUCCGAGUUCAGAAAUAAUGCAACAUUAGCGUUAUUGGCUUCUAUUCCAAUUUCAUAACUAGCAUGUUGGUGUGAAUUAUUUCUAUACACGAGUUAACCCUUUGCUGCAGAAGCAUAUCACGAAGCACCUCAAGAUUUAGCUUGCUACCUACACGAGGUAUUCCGUCAUUCAUCCACCUACCAUCUCCAAGAUACUUCUUUCUGUCUCCUCUAACAGUCAUCACCUUGAGUGCGACGCAAUUAUCAAGUAAAUAAGUAAAAAACUCCAUCUCACAUGAUCUACCAAUACAUCCACUUAUCUCAAGCUCUUUGAGUUGUAAAUGUGGUUGUUUACUCCCCACUUUCGCUCUAUUAAAUUGAUCACAGGUGCUAAAGUGCAACUGCCAUAAACAAAUCAACCUAUAAAUACAUAUCCUUUUAUAAAAUUAAAACAAACGUAGAAAAUACUUAGAGUGAGAUACAAUUUUUGCAGAGCAGGAGCUACAUCAAUUAGAGGUACGAUUCCAAAAAGGUCAUAAUUCCAUACGUAAUUAUAUAGUACCAGUUCUUUCACAUUCCUGAGUGGACUCGCACUGUCACUUACUGGCAGACCCUACAAUACCAAAUUUCAUAGUUGGCGGGAAAGGAUAUCAAUAUAAAUUAUUUGUAUUUAAUUAUAAUAUAAAAUUUAUUUUGUGAACUUUCUCCACGUACCUCAAAAGGAUAAAGAACUACUGAUAGAAUUUCUAGCUGGGGAAGAUCUUUUGCAAGUUUCUUAUACAUAUAUCGAGCGCCGCUUAUAUAUUUAUUUAAGAACAUGAAAUAUGCCUUUCUCAAUGUUGGAAGGCCAGUAAAUGUUAAUGCCUCUGCGAUACCAGCAAACUCAAAGAAGUUCAACUUUUUAAGAGAAUUAAGCUCAAGGUUCAGGAAGUCAUUACAUGAAAUCUUGAAAGAUUCCAAUCCACUGGAUGGACCAAAUAUUCGAAGACUCCCAGGCAGAUAACAACUAUUCAGUGUUAAGCACUCCAGGUUCAAGCAAGUAGACAUUAUAGUGUCUAGAUGGCAUGGACUUAAAGGUACAUAACCAAUGUAAAGAGUUCUCAAAGAAAUUAAUCUUUUGGCAUGAUCAAGAGAAGGUGUAAAAGUACAUGAUACUAAGUGCAGAUGCUUCAAGCUAGAUGUUUUAGCAUGAUAAAUGAGAAGGUGACAAGGAAAAUCAUAAUGUUUAAUACCAGGAACAAAUACAAGAUCAAAAUUAAGAAAAAUUGUUUUAGCCUCCGACUGCGAAGCAAAAUUAAUCCAUCCAUCAAUAUGAGAGGCAGACUCAUCCCCAAGGCGAUAAGUAAGUUGGAAGGUAUCAAUUUUAGGACCAGUAUAGCAGCGCAAGAAUUGAUUAACAGCCAUUAAAAAUUUGGACUUGUUUUGCAAAUCAGGGUUUUUUCCAAAAACAGAAAGAGUAUCAAACUUGAGUUGAGGUGUGAAGGAGAAUAGAAAUCUCCAUCUUCGCGACAAUAAUCCCGUCUUAACAGCAUCUCUCAUGCUCAAAAAUGAUAGAGAAUAUCAUCAGGCAAUUCACUGAUACAAUCAUCACCAGCUUCUACUACUUCAACCUAAUCAGACAAAAAGCAAAAAGUCUUGCCAUGUAAAUUUCUAUUCACUCACUGAAUAUCAAUCAAGCAAAACAAGCAAAAACCAAACACAAAAAAAAAAUUUCCAAGACACAAACUUUAGAUAUUGGAAAUCAAUCACACCUGGGGAGACAUGUUGCUGGGCUCUUACUCUUCCUGUUGCUAUAGCACUGGCUAUGAUUUCAGAUGGCAUUCUUAGUGGAGAUCCGAGCAUCAUCCAUGUUUCUCUUCUAGAUCUUCUUUCUUCUUGAUCUUCAAUUUCUCCACCUUCUCUUCCUUCUUGUACUUCCACACCUGUCUUUGUUGCAAUUUUAAUGUGAGCUUGAGGUCCAUGAUUUGAUUCAAGAAUUUUUGUGUUACAUUGUGUGAAUUAAAGGGAAAUUAGCGAUUUUGGGGGUGUGGCGCUUGUGUGGAGAAUGACCAGAGAGAGAAGAGAGAAAGGGAAAGGAGAGAGGGACAAGAGAUGCAGGAGUGUAUUGGGAGGGAAUGGCACAAAAAUCGGAGAUUUAGGAGUUUUUUUUAAGUUAAUUAAGUUAUUAAUAUAAAAUUUUAAGACAUUUUCGUUUAUUCAUCGGUCCUUAGUGAUUUCAAAAGAGGGAAAUUAAAUUUUUAAAUUGUGAAUAAUGUUUUAUAUAUAUUUUAAAAAUUUAGAAAUUAAAUAGUAAAUUUUUUAAUAUUAUAAAAAUUAAAUAAUAAUUUUUUAUUUUAAAAUAAAUUUUUUAUCGGUUAAUUUUUUAAAAUGUAAUAAAUUUUAGAGAUGGUAAUAAAUCAAUUAUUUUCGAAUAUCCGAUUCAAUCUCAAUACAACAAAUUUAAUUAAUAUAUUAUCGGAUUUAAAAUAUAUUUAAAUUUAGCAUUGACAGGCUAAAUAAUUAAUUUAUUUUGUGUUACCACUUAUGAAGGAACCGGUGUUUCUACUCCUGUUCAAUUUAUAUAUGCUCUCUUCCACAGUGCCUUUAGCCUAACACCAUAAGAGAAGAGACAAAUAAAUGAGUGAGAACUAGAAGUGAAAGAUCUCUUAUGUGUCUAUGAGAGAGAGAGAGAGAGAGAGAGAGAGAGAGAGGAGGAAGAUUGAAGCAAGUUAAACAGAAUCUCAUAUAAAUGUGCAAAAGGGCUUUAAAUGGAACUUAUUAUCGCGCUGCCUUUGCUCAGUCAUAGCAAAUAAACCUGUACGAAAAAUCAUGAAAAGUAAUACAUGAGCAAACAGGAAAUGCAAGACCCUUAAACAGGGUGUUGAGAAGGUUAAUCUCAUAUAAUGGUUGAUGCAAAUGUGAGAGAAAGAGUUGGAUAGCCUGCUCAUUCAAAUGGUCUAUAAAUCUCUACCCAUUAAAGGGAUUCUAACACAAAAAAUAAAGUAAAAAAAAUAUAAAAAAAAAAAAUACCUAUCGCCAUUCACAUAAUCAAAGCAUCCCAGUGAAUGUAAAAAGAUAGAAACUUCUAAGGUCUUUUGGACUAUAUAUAUAUAAUUCAUGGAAGAGGCCAUGAUGUUAGCAAAAGGAAAGUUUUGGGGUCAUAUACCUGGACCAAAAAGGUUCACUGUACAAUUUCAGCGAUUAAAACAAAAAAGAGUAUGUCUCUCUCCCAUAGUGUCUUUCCAUGUCCGUCGUUCAGGAACAAGCACUUAAAAGCUUCCUUCUCCAGCAUUUCUAAUAAGUUUCACAUCACAUAAAUAAUGACAGAGAAAUCAUGAACACAUGAUUACAAUCUAUAAAUCAUAGUUGUCAUAUCGAGAAUCGAAUAAAAUCAUAACAUUGGGUACAACUUUUCAAGAAUCAAUUGAAAAUAAUACAAUAGAGGAAUGAAAGAGCUUCUCUUCCUCUUCAUUCUAUACUUUAAAUUACAAAUUUCAACUAAUUAGAGAUGGUUAAUCAUGAAUUAGAGUUGGAUUAAAUUGGUUAAGUGCAGGCUUUUAGGUAAAAAUAAAAAAUUUUAAAUUAAUGCGGACUCAUUACAUAUUUGAUUUCUUAUUUUUGUUAAAAUUAAAUUGGAAAAUAAUUACAAUUAUAAUAAAAUAAAUUCUUUAUGGUCCAAAAUUCAUAUUAAUAAUAUUAAUAUUAAUAUUACUAAUAUAAAAUUGGAGGAAUUAUUAGUAUCAAUAAUAUUAAUAUAAAAGUAAUACUAUUUAUUAAAUAUGAAGUAUAUAAAACUUCCCUAUAUAAGAAUUUUCAUUUGAAAACGUUAAGCCCGCCAAAAUCAACUUAUUGCCGCAGCAAGAAGAUAGAGCAACAUCGGAGAAGGAAAUCGUGAGAACAAAGCACCACCCUGACUCGUUCGUUACCUCGCCAUUAACUGUUCCACAUCUGAACUCAGUUUAGCAAUGGGACUUCAUUUCUCCAUUUGAAUCUUGUAACCCAAUUAGUUAGUUAGGACUUUGAAGUAGCCUUUCCACCGGGGUUGUAUACAAUACAGAUCUGCUUAGCCGACCUAUCUUUAUUCCAUUGAAUCCGUUAGUGCCCUCUCAAAAGAGAAAGGUUAGUUCUUUUCUUGUGUUCAGAUUAUUCAUUUUGCAAGACCGAGAAUUCAAAUGAAUUCUUGCAGAAGUUUAUUUCAUUUUCCUUGAAAAUCUUGUGUAAAUUUUAUUCCUGUGAAAUCACUAGAUAAUAAUUAAAUUCUUGUGAAAUAUUUUAUUCCAAAUAAUAAAUCAAAAUUGAGAGAAUAUUGCUCUAAUAUUCUGCAACUUGUAUUACUUCCUUUCUUUCCUAACUUCCCCUCUUUUAUUGAAAGGAAACCUUGAAAUUAGUCUUUUUCUGACAUAAUAUUGGUGAAUUUUAUAUGUUUUUCGAAUAUUGAUCAAGUGGAACUAGAACUACUUUUUGAUUCUAAAUUAAAUCUUCAGUUUGAUUUCUGUUAAACCAUGCAUGAAAUAUAUAAGAACCCUAGCUGUUUGUGUAUUUGUGUCUUUUGAUGCAUCAUAACAUUAGCAAAUUCUACAUUUAAAUCAAUUCUAUAACCUUCUUCAUUACUGAUUUAUCUUCUAGUAAUUUCAGUUUACUUUCCUUUAAACUACUUUUAUUCUUCAUAUAUGUUUGUGUGUAUAUAUAUAGUCUGUUGGAUUCAGUCUUGCAAUUUGGCUAAGAUAAUAUUUGCUUUGGUGCAUACAGCAUAUGGAAUAAUAUGAUAUAAUUGGGGAGCCUCUUGGCUCAGGCGGUUAUGGUAAGGUUUAGAAAGUAAUUCAUAGAAAGGAUGGAACAAUAUGGGUGAAAAGGAUAUGACAUUGAAUCCUGAAGAGGACCACAGUAUCCGCAUUCAAUUUUUAGGGAGGCAUGUAUCAUGGGAGAUUAUGCCACCCUAACAACACGAGAUACUAAGGAUCUCUGCUAUUAUUUGCUGCUUUGGAGUUCUUGCCUAUUAUAAUUGUUGGAAUAAAGCUCUUAUUCAAGGUGUUUUGUCUUUAAUUCUCUGCCUGUGAAUACAUAAGUACUAAUAUGUAUAUUAUAGAAUUAGAAAACAAUUUGAAAUUGUAAACAUAGAAUAAUGAAAUCUGAUCAAUGGGUUCAUCACUUCCUAUCUUGUCAUUGCUAAUUCAAUCACAGAACCAAAUGGAAAACAACUAGAAGAAAAUUAAGAAAAAAAUAACUAGGAGAAAACUCUCCCAAAUUGGUGAACACUACUCCAGCUAAGCUACUGGUGCAUAGCAAGAUAAUUCCAAAACUGCUUCCUCUUGCAAUAUGAGCUCCAAUAUGCUUUUAGUAUCUUCAUCAUUCUGUUAGAAUCUCCCGGUGACACAUCUCCCACAAUUUCCAACAAAUGCAGCUCCCCCGCUGCAUGAUUCUGCCUUCUGCUCCUCUUUUCGUAAUACACCUGAAACGGUCUUGGAUUUGAGUUCACAGCUUGCAAGCUUCUGCUGCUAACAUUGCCAUCCUCUUGAACAUUAACUUGUCCCCAAGGUUGAAAUAAGAAUUUAGUUUUGUAAUCUAUCACUUUCAUUCAACUAGCUUUAUUUUCAGACUUUCCUUUCCAUUUAAUUAAAACUUACUAGAGUUGCUGUUCCAUUAUUAACUUUGAUAGAAUAAAGGAUAAGAAUUGUAAUAUUGAAAGCAAAACUAAACUGUGAACGCUAAAAUUUUAUUCAGAAAUGUUGAAGCGCUUACAACCGGUAUAUUUCAAAAUUGCCAAACAAAAUAAAGGACCGCGGAAAUGAUUCCCGAGCUAGUCCAUAACACAGCCCACAGCCAAGCUAUUUACACCCUCUUUAUUUAAUGGGGUUUAUCAUUAUAUAUAUAUCAAAUAGUUACUUUUUGCUUAAUUGAUAGGUCGGAACAUUCUUUUAUUGAUAAUGCACGCAUCUACCUUGUGAUAGAGUAUUUCCCUCAAACUCUAGGAGAGUUUAUCGGCAGGCUGAAUGGAAGUCCCUUUGAUAUCAAAGCGAGCAGGUGAUCAACGGUAAAAUUUUCUUUAUGUCAAAAAUUGCAUACUUUGUUGCAAAGCCGAUCAUUAGUAAUGAUGUCUUAAUUUGUCUUGUAGUUAUUUUUGAGAUAAAUUUUGAAUGGGAUAGCACAUUGUCCCUCUAUGGAUAUCCUUCAUCCAAAUUUAAAGUUAAGCAAUAUAAUGGUAAAAGAAAAUUUGUUGUUAAAGAUCAUUGAUUUUGGUCUCUCUAGAUCUUACUCUCGAGAUAUAGAUGUUAUGUAAUUUUAAAUUUAUUAAAAAAAUCUCUGUAUUUUUUAUUUUAAAAUAAUUAUAUUUUUUAUCCUAUUAUUUAGGACACAUCGGCACAUACGCUUACAUGGCAUUGAAAAUUUUGCUCAACCUGUGUUAUUAUUUCCGAAAAUUUUGCAUAAGGGGUGGAUAGUUUUGACUUGGGCCGAGCAAAAUUUCCGGUGCCAUGUAAGCGUACGUGUCUAUCUCAUGGGAUAAAAAAUAUUAUUAUUUUAAAAUAAAAAAUACAAAAGAAUUUUUUAAUAAAUUUAAAAUUAUAUAACAUCUAUACCUCUGGAAUAAGAUUACUAUCAGAGCUAAUGAAACCUCUAGAGAGCCAAAAUCAAUGAUCUUUAGUAACAUUUUCUUUUACCAUUAGAUUACUUAACUUUAGAUCUCGAUAGAAGAUACCCAUAGAGUGACAAUAUGCUAUUUCAUUCAAAAUGUCUCAGAGUUUAACUACAAGACAAAUUAAGGCAUCAUUACUAAUGAUCAGCUUUGCAACAACUUAUGCAAUUUUUGACAUGAAAGAAAAUUUUACCGUUGAUCACAUACUCACUUUGAUAUCAAAGGGAACUCCAUUCAGCUUACCGAUAAACUCUCCUAGAGUUUAAGAGAAAUACUCCAUCACAAGGUAGAUGCGUCCAUUAUUAAUAAAAGAAUGUUCUAACCUAUCAAUUAAGGAAAGAGCAAGUAUUUGAUAUAUAUAUAUAUAUAUAUAAAACGAUAAACCCCAUUAAACAAAGAGCGUGUGAACAACUUGGCUGUGGGCUGUUAUUGGCUAGCUCAGGAAUCAUUCCCUGAGUCCUUUAUUUUGUUUGACAACUUUGAAAUAUAUUGUAAGCCCUUCAGCCUUUCUAAAUAAAUUUCAGCAUUACAGGUUAAUUUUGCUUUCAAUAUUACAAUUCUUUUCGAUGAAUGCCCUAAAGAGCCGCCUCAAAUUCUUCUUAUUCAGAUUAGAGUAAUAAUGGAACAGAAUCAACAACUCUAGUAAGUUUUAAUUCAAUGGAAAGGAAAGUCUGAAAAGAAAGCUAGUUGAAUGAAAUAUAUUGGUUGUAAGUGCUUCAGCCUUUCUAAAUAAAAUUUCAGCAUUUCAAUUUAGUUUUUCUUUCAAUAUUACAAUUUUUAUUCUUUACUCUAUCAAAGUUGGUGGAACCUGGAGAAGUUUUGCAGACCAGAGUAAUAAUGGAACAGAAUCAGCAACUCUAGUAAAUUUUAAUUAAAUGGAAAGGAAAGUCUGAAAAGAAAGCUAGUUGAAUGAAAGUGAUAGAUUACAAAACUAUAUUCCUAUUUCAACCUUGAGGACAAGUUUAAUGUUUAAGAAGAUGGCAAUGUUAGCCGCAGAAACUUGCAAGUUGUGAACUCAAACCCAAGGCCGUUUCAGAUGUAUAACAAAAAAAAGAAAAGAGGAGCAGAGGAACACGGAGAAGCAUUCUAGAAGGCAAAAUAAUGCAGGUGGGGGAGCUGCAUUUGUUGGAAAUUGUGGGAGAUGUGGGAAAUUGUGGGAGAUUCUAAUAGAAUGACGAAGAUACUAAAAGCAUAUUAGAGCUCACAUUGCAAGAGGAAGCAAUUUUGGAAUUAUCUUGCUAUGCAGCCGUAGCUUAGCUGGGGCUAGUGUUUACCAGUUUGGGAGAGUUUUCUCUUGGUUAUCUUUUUCUUAAUUUUCUUCUAGUUGUUUUUCAUUUGGUUCUGUGAUUGAAUUAGCAAUGACAGGAUAUGAAGUGCUGAACAGAUUUCAUCAUUCUAUGUUUACAAUUUCAAAUUUUUUCCUAAUUCUAUAAUACAGAUUAGCACCUAUGUAUUCACUUGCUUUCACUGCAAGGCAAGAAAUUAAAGACAAAGCACCAUGAAUAAGAGUUUUAUUCCAACAACUAGAAUAGGCAAGAAAUCUGUGGCUAGAACUCCAAAACAGCAAAUAAUGGUAGAGAUUUAACGAGCUCCAAAAUCUAGAAUAUAGUUUAGAAUAUAUAGUACUUCAUCAUGUUAGAGUGACAUACAUCUCCCAUGAUACAUGCCUCCCUAAAAAUUGAAUACAGGAUCCUCUUCAGGAUUCAAUGUCAUCUCCUUCAUCGCCCAUAUUGUUCCAUCCUUUCAAAAAUUACUUUCUAAACCUUACCAUAACCGCCUGAGCCAAGAGGCUCCCCAAAUACAUCAUAUUCUUCUAUAUGCUGUAUGCACCAAAGCAAAUAUUAUCUUAACCAAAUUGCAAGACUGAAUCCAACAGGCUAUAUAUACACACAUAAACAUAUAUGAAGAAUAAAAGUAGUUUAAAGGCAAGUAAACUGAAAUUACUAGAAGAUAAAUCAAUAACGAAGAAGGUUUUAGAAUUGAUUCAAAGGUAGAAUCUGCUAAUGGUAUGAUGCAUCAAAAGACACAAAAACACAAACAGCUAGGGUUCUUAUAUAUUUCAUGCAUGGUUUAACAGAAAUCAAACUGAAGAUUUAAUUUCUUUAAUUUAGAACCAAACCACAAGUAGUUCUAGUUCUACUUGAUCAAUAUUUGAAAAACAUAAAAAAUUCACCAAUAUUACAUCAGAAAAAAACUAAUUCCAAGGUUUCCUUUCAAUAAAAGAGUGGAAAUUAGGGAAGAAAGGAAGUAAUGCAAGUUGCAGAAUAUUAGAGCAAUAUUCUCUCAAUCUUGAUUUAUUAUUUGGAAUAAAAUAUUUCACAAGAAUUCAACUAUUAUCUACUGAUUUCACAAGAAUAAAACUUGCACAAGAUUUUCAUUUUCAAGGAAAAUGAAAUCAACUUGCACAAGAUUUUCAUUUUGAAGGAAAAUGAAAUCUUUUGCAAGAAUUCAUUUGAAUUAUCGGUCUUGCAAAAUGAAUAAUCUGAAUACAAGAAAAGAACUAGAAGAAGAACUAACAUUUCUCUUUUUAGAGGGCAUUAACAGAUUCAAUUAGAAGAUUCAAAUGGAGGGAUGUGAUGAGAAAUGAAGUUCCAUUGCUAGACUGAGUUCAGAUGUGAAACAGCUAAUCGUGAGGUAACGAACGAGUCAAAGUGGUGCUUUGUUCUCACAAUUUCGUUCUCCAAUGUUGCUCGAUGGGCGUCGAAACCACCAAAAAUAAAUUUCUGCUUUAAAAAUAAAAUUUGUGAUAAUGGUAAGCAGGGUCGAUCCCAUCCCACAGAGACUGGUUAAAUAGAUCAACUAUUGAAUGAACUAAAAUAAAAUAAAAUAAAAUGGGGGGUUUUGAAUGUAGAGGAAUAAAUAAAAUUAAUCCAAAAGAAGAAAAAAUUUAAAUUUAAGAGAGAAUCAAGAUGAGACACAUUCGGUUAAAGGAAUAAUUUUAGUUUCAGUUUUUAUGGGUUGAUCACAGAUACAAAAUAAUCUCAAUUUAAUUAAUAAAUCAGUUAUAGAUAUCGAAGACGUUUCAAGUAUCCAAUCCUUUCUUAAUUUUAAACUAGUUAAGAGACGAGCAUGUACUUAUUAAUCAGAAAAGACAAAAGCUACCCAUAAUCAAUAGCUCACAAAGUUAACUCAACUUAUUUCAAACAACCCGCAUUUCACAAUAAAAUCUCAUCAAUGUAUACAAAUCAUAAAGGAAACACCAACACAAUCUUCAAAAGCUGAAAUGUAGCAAACUCAUUCUUAAUAUGUGAUCAUGCAAUUAAGUUCCAUCAAGUUCUUAAAUUAGUGCAUAAAGAAACAUAUACCCAACCAACCAAGAAAGUUUUUUAAAAUUAUAAUUUUCACUUGGGAACCCAGUAAUCCAGAUUUUAUUUAUUUUAUCAUUUUUAUUUAUUUAUUUAUUUUUUAUGGUUUUGGUUCGAUAUUUUUUCGGCUUCUAUGAGAGUAUACUCUCCUAACACUGGUUUUUUCUAUUCACAAGAGACAUCCCUUACUUAAGGGGAAUGGACCCGAACCACCCAAACCAACCGGCAAUGAUAAACCCUAUUAUUAGUGGUAUGUUUCAAAUUAUUGACGGCCCCUACGGGGUAUAAUUCUCCCAAUCAUUAGCUUUUUCCAUCCACAAGAGAUAUCCCUUGCUUAAGGGGAUCAAAUGUCGUACCAUUUGAACCAGCUAAUGUUGGUAAACCACCUAAAAAUUAAUAAUAAUAAAUUUUCUUUUCUUUUCUUUUUUUUUAGUUCCCUGGGGAUAGUAUCAAGACUCACUGUAGUAGGUUAAAGUAGAGUUUCAACAUGCACUAUUGGUCUUUUAUCAAGCAAUAUCAAUUUACUUAAACAUAAGUUUGCAUAUUUCAACGCAUAAAAAAAGUGCUAGAAUCUCAUAAUGAUCUGCAUAAAAAGACAAAAGAAUGCCAUUUGUGCUGACUCUGAAAGUCAAAAAUUAUUUUAGUUUAUUUUUUAUUUUUUAUUUUUAUUUUUUUUCUUUAAGAAGAUAAACAAAUCAAAUAAAACAAAAAAGAACAAUUAAAACUAAGGCAAGUGAACAGACUCUCCCCCACACUUGGAUCACAAUGUACUCAAUUGAUAAAAAAAACAACCAAUGCAGAUAUAGCUAUUCUCCCCACACUUGGGUCACAACAAAAAUAAAUAAAUAAAUAAAUAAGAAGAGAGUUUAGAAUAUGACCCGGAGGGAUGUCAGGACUCCCCAUCUGAUCAAUUCUGGUAUUGAAGAUUUGAAAAGCAUGUUGGGCAUCAAAUGAAGGAUUAGCCAUGGUACAGGCAACAGGAGCCGUGCGUAAAGCACUUCCUUUUUUGAACACUCAAUAGGAUCGCGGGAUGGGACUUGGACGACAAAAAGUGUCAUCAAGACUCAUUAAAUCUAAGGUUAACAUGUCACAAGCUUUAUGCAAAUUAAUAUUUUUUAAGUCAAUUAAUCUUUCAUGCAAUGCAACGUGGUGACUAUGUGUACUAGAAUUAAAGGUCUGGGACUAAAAGCACAGCAUAUUUGUGAAGCAAUAAAACAACUCAAAUUGACUCUUAUACCCUCAGUCAUGACCCUUAUACCCUCAGUCAUGCACAACAAUUCAGUCUUAGACAGGAUCCCAGGGGAAUCCAUUUUUCCAGAGAAAGAAUGUGAAUGUAAAGAUGAAUCACUAGAUUAGUGUGUGAGUCGCUCAUGUACUGCACGGGCAUGCAAAUAGGUUUCUGAGUGGGCAGAUUCAAUCGUCAAUUAACCCAAGAUCAACCCAGCCAGCUGUAUCUAAUGUGCAACCUGUUAGUGAAUCAGAAGGUGGAAUAAAAUUCCCAAAUAAGUUCAUAGUAAAUUGGACAAUUAAUGGCAAAAAAUUUAUCCCAACCAAUACUCCCAAUUAACAAAUCCACAUUUAAAUUUUACCUUGCACAAGAGGAAGAGGAAACAUAACUGGCUUUUUCUUUUGCAUUUGUAAGAAGAAGGCUACCGUUAAAUCGUGAUGGAGCCGGAGGUAAGUGAUGUCUGCCCCUCCCAAGUCGUGUCCGGAUACCAGCAACAGAGGGAUUGGUAUGAGACUGGUCUGCUGAAGAGGUGGAAGUGGAGUGAUGUAAGUCAGAAAGUUGCUCACCGUUGGUGGUGGCUGAGGGUUGUGGACCGGCGCGAGGUGGUGGCUUGGCACGUGGGUUGUUGUCCGCGAUGGAUGCGUGUGAGGGAUUCAAGGCGGGUUGCACGGCGCGAGAUGGCGAGGAAUGAGCGGCGGCAGUGGAAAGGAGUCGAUCUUGCGCACGGAUGGUGGCGCACGUCAGCGAUGGAGAGGUGGUGGCACGAUCUGGUGAAGCACGCGGGUUGCGAUCUGCGCGUGCGUUGGGCGUCGCGGCCGGCGGAGAUGGAGAGGUGUUGGCGGCGGCUGGUGUUGGCGGGUUGCGACCGGUAAAGGUACGAACUCGCCGGCCGUCAGAGGUGGAAGUGGAGCGUCGUUUGGGAGCCAUGGGUUAUGUGCUGCUGUAGGAGAGAAGAGACAAAAGGAAAAUUAGGUGCAGGAAGAGUAAAAAUAAAGGGUAAAAAGAGAAAAGAAUAAAUAAAUAAAUUUAACCCUAAUACCACCUUUUGUUUCCAAAACACACCCAUAAAUAUAAGAUCACAGACCUCUAGAACUUAAAAUAAAAUGCUCCAAUACGAAAAAAAAAAAAACACUUAACACAGGAGAAGAUGACGGAGGAUAAAAAUAAAGAAAUAAAAUUGAAUGAAACUAAAGAUCAAACAAAAAAUAUUCUUAUGACCUGUUGUCUAGUUAGUUAUGGGCAUAAUCCAGAAUAUAAACAUACCUCUAUAGAAUUUUUUUUUUUACUAAAAUUUUAUUUAGAAAAUAGAAAGAGUAGUUUUAAUUUAAAGUCUUAGCUAGACUUCACUUCCUUGCAAGUUAGUUAAAGGAGUGGAGAGAAAUCGCUGAUAUGGCCCGAAAUUCUCAUAAAAAUAUUUUAGAAGAUGGCCAUUAACCUUGAAUGACUUGUUGGUGCCCAUACUCCUUAUUUCUACGGCACCAUGAGAAUAAAUAUUAGUGACAAUAAAAAUACCAAUCCAUCUAGUUCGUAAUUUAUCAGAAAAUAAUUUCAGUUUAGAAUCAUGUAACAGAACUUUUUGACAAACUAAAAAUUAUUUCCUAGAAAUUAAUUGAUCAUGCAAUGCCUUGGUUCUUGCUUUGUAUAUUCUGGAAUUAUCAUAAGUAUCAUUCUGAAUUUCUUCCAGCUCUUGCAGUUGCAACUUACAAUGCACACCAGUUUUAUCCAUACUCAUAUUGCAUUGCUUUACUGCCUAGAAAGCCUUAUGUUCAAUCUCUACGGGUAAGUGACAAGGCUUUCCAUAGAUGAGACAGUAAGGGGACAUGCCAAUUGGUGUUUUAAAAGCUGUGCAAUAUGCCCAUAAAAGUGUCCUCCAACUUGAGACUCCAAUCUUUGCGAUUAGGACUGAUAGUUUUUUCAAGAAUGGACUUAAUUUCUCUGUUGGACACCUUGCCCGUUUGUUUGUGGGUGAUAAGCUGUGGAAGUUCAAUGAUGGACACCAUACUUCUUAAAAAGAGCUGCAACUAUCUUAUUGCAAAAAUGGGUUCCACGAUCACUGAUUAUAGCCUUUGGGACUCCAUACAUGUUAAAGAUAUAUGACUUGACAAAACCCACAACAACUUUAGCAUCGUUAGCAUGGGUAGCUUUUGUUUCUACCCACUUAGAAACAUAAUCAAUAGCUAACAAUAUGUAUGUAUGACCAAAAGAAGAUGGGAAUGUAUACCCCAAACAACGAAUAUUUCACAAAUAAGGAUGGGUUGUUGGGGCAUCUGGUCACGACGACUUAAAUUUCCUUAGCACAAGACUUACAGAAUAUAUAGGAAUCAUGAUAUAUAUGAGGCCAAUAAAAUCCACUAUCAAGAAUCUUACGAGCUGUUCUCUUUGGACCAAAGUGGCCUCCACAUGCGUGGUCAUGACAGAAGCUCCUAAUGGAACUGAUUUCAUUACCCAUGACACAUCUCCGAAUAAUCUGGUAUGAGCAUAUGCGCCAUAAAUAAGGUUCAUCCCAAGUAUAAUACUUGGAAUCAUGUUUGAUCUUUUCUCGUUCAGCUCUGGUUAAGUCAUCGGGUAAGGAUUUAGAGAUCAAAUAAUUAACUAUAUCUGCGUACCAUGGAACUUGCUCUGAUGCAGAGAACUGGUAUUCAUCCGGGAAGUCAUCAUUAAGUGGUACAGUGUCUUCAACCAACAAUGGCAGUCGGCUAAGAUGAUCAACAAUUAAGUUCUCAGAUCCCUUCUUGUCUCGGAUCUCAACAUCGAACUCUUGAAGCAAAAGAACCCAUCGAAUCAAUCUAGGCUUUGCAUCUUUCUUCUUGAAAAGGUAUUUUAAAGCUGCAUGGUCAGAGUAAACAAUUACUUUAGUACCAAGUAAAUAUGAACAGAAUUUUUCUAAAGCAAAAACUAUAGCUAACAGUUCUUUUUCUGUGGUUGAGUAAUUGCACUGGGCACUAUCAAGUGUUCUGGAUGCAUAAUAAAUAACGUGAGGAUCUUUUCCCUUCCUUUGGCCUAAGACCGCGCCCUCAGCCCGGUUGCUAGCAUCGCACAUAAUUUCAAAAGGUUGACUCCAAUCAGGAGGCUGUAUUAUGGGCGCAAUGAUUAAUACCUCCUUGAGUGCAUUAAAAGCUUUCUUGCAAGAAUUAUCAAAAGUAAACUCAACAUCCUGUUGCAAUAACCUACAGAGUGGCUGAGCUAUUUUUGAGAAAUUCUUAAUAAAUCGUCGAUAAAAAUCUGCAUGUCCAAGGAAAGAAUGAAUUUUACGCACAUUAACGAGAUAGGGUAGUGACUUAAUGAUAUCUAUCUUACUUUUGUCAACCUCAAUUCCCCUUUUUGACACAAUGUGCCCCAAUAUUAGCCCUUGAUCUACCAUAAAAUGACAUUUCUCAUAAUUUAACACCAAAUCAGACUCUAGACACCUUUUAAGGACUUUUUCAAGGUUAGCUAAGCAUGUAUCAAAGGAGUUACCAUAUAUGGUGAAAUCGUCCAUGAAAACUUCUAUGAUGUCUUCUACAAAAUCUGAAAAUAUACUAACCAUACAUCGCUGAAACGUGGCUGGUGCAUUGCAAAGCCCAAAUGGCAUUCGUCGAUAGGCAAAUGUGCCAAAUGGACAGGUAAAGGUAGUCUUCUCUUGGUCUUCAAGUGCCACAGGAAUCUGAUGAAAGCCUGAAUAUCCAUCAAGACAAUAAUAAUGAGAUUUCCCAGCUAGACGCUCAAGCAUCUGAUCAAUAAAAGGAAGUGGGAAGUGAUAUUUUCUAGUGGACGUAUUUAAUUUACGAUAAUCUAUACAAACCCUCCACCCGUUUUGGACGCGGGUGGGUAUUGAUUCUCCAUCUUUAUUUUUCACCACAGUAAUGCCUGUUUUCUUAGGGACAACCUAGACUGGGCUCACCCAUUUGCUAUCGGAAAUGGGGUAGAUCACACCUGCAUCAAGUAAUUUCAAGACUUCCUUUUUUACCACUUCUAUCAUAGGAGGAUUCAGACGACGUUGAGCUUCCCUGGUGGGCUUGCUGUCGUCUUCCAGUAAAAUUUUGUGCAUACAAAUGGAAGGACUAAUUCCUUUUAUAUCAGCUAUAGUCUAGCGAUUGCACCUUUAUUUUCUUUUAGAACUUGAAUCAGCUCCUCUUCUUCAUAUGGUGUCAGUUUGUUGGAGAUAAUUACGGGUAGAUAACUUCCUACCCCAAGGUAUGCAUACUUUAAGUGAGUAGGCAACGGUUUCAGUUCUAACUGUGAGGUUUGCACAACAGAUGGUAAAAGUUUAGAAUGAGCAGUAGGUAAUUCCAAAGAAGAGACAUUACAUUUAAUUUUGUUAGCUUCAAGUUCAUGGACCACAUCUUCCAACCUUCCUUAUAAGACAAAAUCAGUGCUUAUGGCUACCAAUUUAGCUUUACUCAGGUUUUCACACAUAACAGUUCAUAGUUCGUCCUCACCUUGCAACUCAAAUACUUGCUGGACUAAAGGUUUGAUGAUAUCCACACCACACACAUUAGAAAGGUCAUUUGGGUAUUUCAUGUCGUCAUACACAUUAAAUUUUAUAAUUUCCCCAUCGAACUCCAUGGUAAGUGUGCCAUAAAAAAUAUCUAUUUUUGUUCUAGCAGUUGUUAAGAAAGGUCUACCUAACAAAAGAUCAGAUGUAUUAGAGGCCCUAUCAUCAUCCAUAUGGACUAUGUAAAAAUCAGCAGGGAAUACUAAAUUACCAACUUGUACCAGCACAUCCUCUAAAACUCCCUCGGGGUAUAUAACAGAUUUAUCAGCCAAUUGUAUAUACUCCAGUUUCUUUUAAAGGGCCAACAUUUAAAAAUUGAUAAAUGAACAAUGGCAUUACAUUUAUAGAUGCACCCAAGUCACAAAUUGCUUUUUUAACCCCAACCUUGCCAAUUUUGAUAGGUAUAGCAAACAUACCUUGGUCUUUGCAUUUGGUAGGCAUUUUACUCUGAAAAACAACAGAUACCUUUUCAUCGAUACAAACAUUUUGGUAACCCACUAACUUUUUCUUAUUUGUGCAUAAUUCCUUUAAGAACUUUGCAUAGCGAGGUACCUGUUUAAUUGCAUCAAGUAAAGGUAUAUUCACUUCUACCUUACGAAAUGUAUCAAGGAUCUCCUUUUCUUUUUUCUCUCGUUUGGACCUGGCUAAUCUCUGAGGAAAAGGAGGUUUAAUUAUCAGAGGUUCAGAUUGCACGGGUGCUGAGCGGUCGUGCCCACGACUUACCUGUCGAGGGUCAUUGUGCAGUUCUUUUCCGUUUCUAAGUGUAACGGCACUUGCAUUCUGCUUGGGGUUUACUAUGGUCUGGGAAGGCAAUUUACCUUGAUUUUCCAACUUGUUCACCGAUACUACCAAUUGACUGAUUUGUGUUUCCAGAUUGCGAAUACUCGUUCGGGUCUCUUGUUGAAACUAUUGAGUGUCCUGUAGAAAUUGUUGAGUGUUAAUUGCCAAACUUUUAACAAUAUCUUCCAAGGACAUACCUAAAUUAGAUGAAGAUGCUUGCUGCUGAAACUGUUUAGGCUGAUAACUUUGAGAAUUUUGCUGUUUAUAGCUAAAGUUCGGGUGAUUUCGCCAUCCUGGGUUAUAUGUAUUUGAGAAAGGAUCGUACUUUCUUUGUGGAGGACCUGGAAACCCAUUGACAGCAUCCACAUGCUGGUCAUCCUCUUGAAGUGAGGGGCACAUGUCGGUGGAAUGACCCGUAUUAGCGCAAAUUCCACAAGCUUUGGCUUGUUGUGUCUUCUCUGCAACAAGAUUUUCAACUAAAAUGGUUAGAUGAGAAAGUUUAGACUCAACAGAAUAAUUACUUACCUCAGAAACUCUCCUAUGAGAGUCUUGUAUAGGUACAAAUUGUUGUGAAUUUGCUGCCAUCGUAGAUAUCAAUUCCCUGGCUUCUCGGGGUGUUCUUUUGCGUAUCGCACCUCCAUUUGUAGCAUCUAUCAUGCGUCUUUCCAUGGUUGUGAGUCCCUCAGAAAAAUGGAGCAUGAGUUAUUUAUAUGAAAUUUCAUGCCUAGGACAGCUAGCACAUAAGCGUUUAAAUCUCUCCCAAUAGUCAUGGAGAGUUUUUGUCUCCUUUUGCUUAAUUCCUGAUAUUUCUCUUCUUAUUGCAGAUGCUCUAGAAGUGGAAAAGAAUUGAUCUAAAAAUAAUUUUACCAUUUCUCCCCAUGUAGUGACUGAACCUGGAGGUAGGUAGUACAACCAGUCUUUUGCAUUAUCAGCUAGAGAAAAAGGAAAUGCCCUUAGCUUGAUUUGUUCUUCUGUAAUUCCUUGUGGUCUCAUGUUGGAGCAUACUACAUAGAACUCUUUCAAAUGUCUAUGAGGAUCUUCCCUUUCAACUCCUCUAAAGAUAGGGAGGAGAUGAAUUAAUCCCGAUUUUAGCUCAAGUAGUGCAUUUAGUGCAGGAUAGACGAUGCAAAGGGGUUGAGGGUCAUCCACAUUGUCAACAUCCUGUAUUGCUUGUUCUUCAGCCAUUUUCUCUUCCACGUCAGAUUCACCAGAGGUAUCGUCCGGGUUAGAUGCUGUUUCCUCCGUGCCCACGACCUGUUCGUCGACAGCAACCUGUUCUUCAAUGGCGAUCUCCUCUUCAACUUCAGCAAUCUGUGCUUCAAUAUAGAGUUGUUCCUCAAUGCUGGAUGAUGAGAGGUCUUUAUUUCACUGUUUAGCCUCUUUCCUAUGUUUUCUUGUGAUUUUCUCAAUUUCUGGGUUGAACUCUAGUCUACCUGCAAGAUUAGAACGUGUCAUUCAAAAAGAAUUAAUAAAAUAAUUUAGAACCAGUCCUCGGCAAUGGCGCCAAAAUUUGAUGGGCGUUGAAACCACUAAAAAUAAAUUCCUACUUUAAAAAUAAAACUUGUGAUAAUGGUAAGUAGGGUCGAUCCCACAAAGACUGGUUAAAUAGAUUAACUCUAUUGAAUGAACUAAAAUAAAAUAAAAUAAAAUAAAAUGGAGGGGUUUUGAAUGUAGAGGAAUAAAUAAAAUUAAUCCAAAAGAAGAAACAAUUUAAAUUUAAGAGAGAAUCAAGAUGAGACACAUUCAGUUAAAAGAAUAAUUUUAGUUCCAAUUUUUAUGGGUUGGUCACAGAUACAAAAUAAUCUCAAUUUAAUUAAUAAACCAGUUAUAUAUAUCGAAGAUGCUUUAGGUACCCAAUCCUUUCUUAAUUUUAAACUAGUUAAGAGACGCUCGUUAACUAGCUCUAACUUUUGGACAACCGUAGGAGACGCUCCUAGAAUUUAAUCCAAUUAUUGCAUUAAGAAUUAAAAGGACAUGAUUCUAACUAACAAACGCGAGAUGCUCAGUUCAUUUAAGUUAGAUUAUACUAUUCCUUAGGAAGGCCUUACGCAACCUAAUUUACUACUUAUUUCAAUUCAAUUAAAUAAUUACGGAUUUAAUUAACUGAAUAGCAACCUACCAUUCCGUCAAUUGAGCAAUGACGCCUUAAUUGAUCAAUCCACAGAGUAAUAUUAAACAAUAAACACAGGAAUAAUAUAAAUACCAAUAAUUGAGACAACUAUAAAAUCACAUAAAUCCCACAACCGAUUUAACUGAAACUUUUAAUUAUCCCUUUACUGAAAAGAAGAAUUUAGCCACACAAGUUCAUGACUAAAAAUAAGAGAUGAAAGAUAAGAUGAGAUGAGGUCAGAAUGCCCCUUUUUUAUAGUAUUAAGAGUCCUAAUCUAAAUACAAGUACCUAAAAUCAAAAUUGAGUAUAGUUUGGCAGAUAAAGUUAUCUGUUUGGUUCCCGGAUUUAAAGCUGGCUUUGUUGUCAAGUAUGUUUGUGCCUAUGACACAGCUCGUCUAGAGUAUCCUUUUAUAAAUUUGAUUGUGGCCACCUUUUAUGGAUUUCAAAUUGAUUUUUUCUCUUAUUUUCUUUCAAUCCUAUCAAGAUAACAAAAUUUAAACAAAUCAAUCUGUUUUAAACGAAAUCAAACUUAAUAUCUAAAUAUUUUGUAAUACUAAAGUUGCAUAAUUGUGCAUAUUAUCAUUGCUCUAUCUUCUUGCUGCCGUAGUAAGUUGAUUUUGGUCCAGGUGUAUGACCCCAAAACUUUCCUUUUGUUAACAUCAUGGCCUCUUCCAUGAAUCAUAUAUAUACAGUCCAAAAGACCUUAGAAGUUUCUAUCACUUGAUCAACAAGCUGACCCAUCAGGUUUCUUUUUACAUUCACUAGGAUGCUUUGAUUAUGUGAAUGGCGCUAUGCAUCUCUUUUUUUUACUUUAUUUUUGUGUUAGAAUCCCCUUAAUGGGUAGAGAUUUAUAGACCAUUUGAAUGAGCAGGCUAUCCAACUCUUUCUCUCACACUUGCAUACACCUUUAUAUGAGAUUAACCUUCUCAACACCCUGUUUAAGGGUCUUCCAUUUCCUGUUAGCUCAUAUAUUACAUUUCAUGAUUUUUCUCACAGGUUUAUUUGCUAUGACUAAGCAAAGGCAGCAUACUGAUGGCGAGGCCCUCUGCCGAAAGAUAGAAGAACCACUGUGACUACAAUCAAACCUUAGUUCUCGCUCUCUCUCUCUUUCUCUGUUUUCUCCCUAAGUUUUCUUUCUAUUUUUUUUUUUUUGUUAAUAAUCAGUUUUAUUUUAUUUAGUCGAUAGAGUUUUUUAGAUAUUUUUUAAAAUAUUUUUUAAUUAAUUUUAAUAUAAAUUGAAAAUUUUAUUUAUAAAAAAGCAACUUUUAUCAAAUUUUUUACCGGUGUUAACUAAUACCAUUAAUUUUGACUUAUUUGAUUCAUUUUUAAAUAUUUAAGGAUUUAUUUGGAUUAAAAAAAAAAUUCAAGAUGUUAUAUGACUAUUACUUUAAACUUAAAGGGUUAAACUAGAACUUUUGCCUUUUUCUUUUCAUUUUCUAAAAUUUCUUGGGCGAUCGGACGGUGUGAAAUUAAUCAAAGGCAAUCUGCGAAGAAAGCAUUUCGUCUGGGUCAGGUAUUUGACAUUGAUGGGGUUUGAAAAGAUCUUCUCUCAUUAACAAUCCCACAUUUUCUUUUCGAUUUUAAUUUUUGAGGGUUCUCCAUCGCAUCAAAAUGUCAGGAGAAACGGCUCUGUUUAAAUUCCUAAAGCCUAGGCGUCGUCCUCAAUCCACUGAUGUACAGGCCGCCGCCUUCUGGGGCAUCGCCGCCGCCUCCGCAGCUCUCUAUAUUAUACAGGUAUCUCCUUUCCUCUCUUUAUCUGAGAUCUGACUCUUUAUUUACUGAUUGUUGAUCCUUUCAAUUUUGUUGAAUGGGUUGCCGAUUUCUGGAUAAAAUUCGCCACUUUUGAAAAUUUUGCAACUUUGCAUUUGUGUGAUUCCCUGUUUUGCUGUUUUCAUUAUGUUCUAUUUGUAGAUACUCCUUGUGAUUAUUUGUGGAUCUUUUGUUUAAAGCUUUUAUUUUUUAAAAUUUCUGCAAGCACUGUUGUUGGAUUUGAACUUAAUAAAACCAUCUGUCAUGCAAUUGGAAGAGAACCUUUUAUAGCGAAAUAAUUUUGCCAAAUUAUAGAACAAAAUGGUUACUAGCCAAAGCAAGGAUGGUUAAAAACUCACUAAAAGGAGCUUUUAGCUGAGAGACGCAGUCAGUUCUGAAUAAAUAACAAGUUUGUGACUUCAUGUGGAAUGCCAGCUUCAUUGGUCCACAGUACCUUUUCUGCUUCUCCAAAUUUUUUGUGGUGUCCUUUUCUUUCUUGUAUUUUCUCUUCUUAAGAGAUGAUGUUUUGGCUGUUCUAAUUAUUGAUAAUGCAAGUGUCUCAGGUGUGUUUUAAUCCCAUUCUUUGUAUCAUUGAUCUGCGAACGUUAGAUAUUUGUCAGUUGUUUUAUUGAUGAUAAUGGUGGUAAACUUCAUGCAGAAUUAACUUGUAUAUGGAUUGUUCAACCUUUAAUAUGAAUUACUCGAAAACUACUUUUGUUUAUGGCCCUUUGCAACCAAUUCUGAAAUGUGUAAAUAUUGAACUAUGGAAUAGAACUUAGAAACAAAGGGAAGAAAAGGUUUGAUUUUAGAGUUUAACUCAUAAUAAAGUAAAACAAGCAACAUUGUUUCAAUUGGCACUUAAUGUAAAUAACUGUGAAGAAAACAUCGUGCAGCAAAUGUUAUUUUACCAUGCGAUUCAUGUAGGGAUCUAUGACUUUGGUGGUUGAAUGUGUUCUCAAGUUGUGCUCGUCACAAGACAUGUUUAAUUAGUAUUGACAUCUUUCUUCGCAUUCUAGUGUCUAUUUCCUGUUUGUUGAUUGUUGUGUAAUGGCUUUUUAUCGCUUGGCUCUUUUGAAGUUCUUGUAUGAAAGUCAAAUUCUGCUACCCACCUCUAUGGAUGGAUGUUUACAUGAUACAGGACUUUGGCACAUACCAUAAAGUUUUUAGUUUAUCAACCUUUGCUAUUUGAUUUUUCAUCUUUGCUACUUCACAUGCCUAAAAUUACUAAUCAAUUAGCACUUAUUGCUCUUUCAUUAAAAGAUAUGAAAUCGUGGAUAGAGACAGAAGUUUGUUGUGCCUCUUUGUCACAUUCAUAUAAUGUUCAUGAUUUUUUCAAUCUGAAAAUUUUUCUGUGUCUUUCUUCAGCCAUUUGAUUGGAUUAAGAAGACCUUCAUUGAUAAGGAGCCUGAAGGAAAGUGAACAACGAUCAAAUUUUUGAAUAGCUUUUUGAUAUCUUUCAUGAUGUUGGCAAUGAGAAACCUUGAGUGAAGCUGAUAUGAAUAAUGUUGUUUCAUUUUCUAGUUGUCGUUGAGGCCUUGUUGGCAUUAAUUCCUGGCUUAAGUGGACAAUUUUAAACUCAAGUGUUUGUUUUUUUUAAUCUUAAUUGUACUUCUGCUUUUGCUCUCUUUCUCUCUCUCUCUCUCUCUCUCUCUCUCUCUCUC
Molecule: long non-coding RNA, 22595 nt
Filed under: Manihot esculenta (cassava)
Lineage: Eukaryota; Viridiplantae; Streptophyta; Magnoliopsida; Malpighiales; Euphorbiaceae
Description: long non-coding RNA (MESC_LNC005734)
Source: RNAcentral